UAGAAGAAAGCUCGCUGGAUGGAGUUUUUAGCUGUUAACUAAAAUGUUGUAGGAUCAAGGCCUGCUCUUCUAG
Molecule: transfer RNA, 73 nt
Filed under: Megophrys shapingensis (Shaping frog)
Lineage: Eukaryota; Metazoa; Chordata; Amphibia; Anura; Megophryidae
Also listed under: 1 other name
Description: Atympanophrys shapingensis (Shaping frog) tRNA-Asn
Source: RNAcentral